RNAcentral lists this ribosomal RNA (506 nucleotides) under uncultured bacterium. RNAcentral's name for it is "partial 16S ribosomal RNA". It matches the Rfam family "Bacterial small subunit ribosomal RNA", at positions 29 to 523 of the family's 1533-position model. The record is from RNAcentral.
AUUGAACGCUGGCGGCAGGCCUAACACAUGCAAGUCGGACGGUAGCACAGAGGAGCUUGCUCCUCGGGUGACGAGUGGCGGACGGGUGAGUAAUGUCUGGGGAUCUGCCCGAUAGAGAGGGAUAACCACUGGAAACGGUGGCUAAUACCGCAUAACGUCGCAAGACCAAAGAGGGGGACCUUCGGGCCUCUCACUAUCGGAUGAACCCAGAUGGGAUUAGCUAGUAGGCGGGGUAAUGGCCCACCUAGGCGACGAUCCCUAGCUGGUCUGAGAGGAUGACCAGCCACACUGGAACUGAGACACGGUCCAGACUCCUACGGGAGGCAGCAGUGGGGAAUAUUGCACAAUGGGCGCAAGCCUGAUGCAGCCAUGCCGCGUGUAUGAAGAAGGCCUUCGGGUUGUAAAGUACUCUCAGCGGGGAGGAAGGCGAUGUGGUUAAUAACCGCGUCGAUUGACGUUACCCGCAGAAGAAGCACCGGCUAACUCCGUGCCAGCCGCCGCCGUAA